UGGGGAAUUUUGCGCAAUGGGGGAAACCCUGACGCAGCAACGCCGCGUGGAGGAUGAAGCCCCUUGGGGCGUAAACUCCUUUCGACCGAGACGUGGCCCCUGGGUUAAUAGCCCGGGGGAGUGACGGUACCGAGAGAAGAAGCCCCGGCUAACUCC
This 156-nucleotide ribosomal RNA is filed under the name uncultured bacterium. Its description in RNAcentral is "partial 16S ribosomal RNA". It matches the Rfam family "Bacterial small subunit ribosomal RNA", at positions 355 to 504 of the family's 1533-position model. The record is from RNAcentral.